Molecule: long non-coding RNA, 1185 nt
Filed under: Olea europaea subsp. europaea
Lineage: Eukaryota; Viridiplantae; Streptophyta; Magnoliopsida; Lamiales; Oleaceae
Source: RNAcentral
UAUUAAGUAACUUUACUUUUUUUAAGCUUAGCUAAAAAUAUUGUUAUAAAUUUUUAUUUUUAAAUACUUCUACACUUUUCCAAUAUGGCGUUUCACCAUUAAACACAGAACUUUCAUCCUACACCUAACCACCCUAAUCCUGUAUGGUGUACCAUACGCACCCUUAAUGCUGCUUUCCUAGAGCAAGGUUCAAGAGAGAAUUAAUAUGCAUGUACCUUAAUGUUACAAUCCAAAUAUAAGGCUAAAUAGAUUUGCACAGUAAGGUAAGUAGUUGAUAAACUGCUAAAAGCUAAAGCGAAUGCUAUAUCAAUUCCCACAUUCUUGAUAUCAGCUCUAUUUUCCCUCCACUUUUGUCAUAUUGCUAUCUAGUUGGCUUGUCUAUGUUUCAAAGUAAUUUUGUUACAUAUAUGGCUUGCUUAUUUUUCAUUUUUCAAAUUUGAUGUUAGGAUUUUGGGUUGUAUCCUGUGCUGAAAUAUCCAAAAUAUGCACUUCCUCUUUGGUAUUUUUUCAGUUUCUAAAGAAAAAAGUAAAGAAAUUAAUCCUCUCCUUCUACGAGUUUUAGAGCUUGUUUGGCAUGGCUUUUGAAAAUCAAAAAGUCGUUUCUGAGACUAAGUAGUAGUUUUGAGUCUUGUUAAGUGAAAAUGCUUUGUCUUACUAGAAAAGCUUUAACAAAUGCUUUUCUAGAAAAAGCAAAACAGCAAAAACUUCUCCGAACAGGCCGUUACUAUUCAUUUCCACAUUGAGUACCUGACUAUAUUCUGCUUUCAGGUUUGAGAGAGAACGUACAUGUCCUUUGUGCCGAGCUUUGGUGAAACCUGUGGAUCUCAGAUCAUUUGGUGACGGAUCUACAAGUCUAUUUUUUCAGUUAUUCUAAACUGCCAGUGAGUAUAACUGGGAAGUUUUCUGCUUUGAAGCCUAAAUUGUCAUCCAGAGCAGCUGUCUCCUGAUCAUCUUGUUAUAUGGAAAAUUUAACUGUAACUAUUAAAAGUUGCUGGUGAUGUUGAAACUUAGUCUGGGGUCGGCUUUGUCUGUUGUUGGGUUGUAAUGAGAAAUGUAUGUAAUGGGUUCCUAAAGCGACAGGAGUUAUAUUUUUAUGAUAUAUACACAAAUACAACAGUUAGAGCCAUAUAUGAGAGCUUUUCAAGUCAGAACUCUGAUUGCCAUAUCUGCAUGUGUGAGAUGGUC